Solanum lycopersicum (tomato) is the source of this 2534-nucleotide non-coding RNA. The record is from RefSeq and is a predicted model, not a curated record. Lineage: Eukaryota; Viridiplantae; Streptophyta; Magnoliopsida; Solanales; Solanaceae.
GGUUUUUUAUUUCCCUCUCUUUUAACCUAGUCACUCAUUUAUUCUCUCCAUAUUUCCAUCAUCUGAAGCUUUCCCUCCAUCUUCCUACCUUCCACUCAAUCUUUCCACUUUCCCCUGUUCUUCACUUUUCUCGGUGAGGGAACUUUCCUUUAAAGAGCUAUAAAUUCGCUAUAAUCCAUUUUGGAGAGAUAAAAUCAGAUGAGCAUCAGUCAUGCCAAAGAUUAAACGUUCUAAGAAUCCACUAAAGUCAACUAAUGGACAUGCUUCAUCAUCAACUACUCCAGUGGCACAAGACCUCCCAGUUGCUUCAACAUAUCCUUCACAAGCUGAUGGAGUCCCACAACAAGACAAACUCCAAUUCUCCCGCAGCAAGAACAAGCUCCAAUUGCCCUAAAAAGCUAUCAAGCAUAUUAAUGGAGCGCAUCAUUGUGGACUUUGACGCAUACAACUCAGCAUAUGGUGAUGCACAGGGACUACUCGCUGGAUAUUGUGGAUCAUUGGCAAUUGAUUGUAAUUUGUUCUUGAUUAGUUUUGAGAGAUGGUCAGGGCAAUCAGGGAUGCUUGAGAAGUACAUGGAAGACUGCUUUUAAACAAUAUUGAAGUUACAAGUGUUCUUAACAUAUAUCUAUAUACACUUUUCGGAUGAUUUAAGAAUACAUGAGAAAACUAAUAUAUAUUUUUUAUUUAAAGCCUCGAUUUCUUUUUCGGGUAUGUGAGCCCAUUGCAUACUGCAAUAGUAGUAUUUCAAAAAAGUGGGCUACACAUAGGCAGAGAUUGUAGAAUGAAUAUUUGACCCUGCAAGAAGCAAAAAUGAGAUCACUAGUAAUAUGCCAUCUGGUAUAAAUAAAGAUCAAUGGGCUAGUUUUGUUGCUUACCAUCUGACACCAUCAACAAUGGAGAUUUUCAGAAGAAAUAAGGAAAUCCAGAGGAAGCAAAAAAUUCCACACACUGGUGGUUCAAAGGCUAACUCGAGAAGACGUCAUGAGAUGGCAUGGCAUUUAACUUAAUAGUUCUGAUUUGUGUUUAACUAAACUAGUUUUUGCAUAGUAUCUAUAAUACAUUUCUUUCUUAGUUUCUGGAAACUGGUAAAGUUCAUAGUCGCGGAAAAAUGUUUAUUGAAACUCAUAAGAGAAAGAACGGAUCAUUUGUGAAUGCUAAGGCUCAAACUAUAGGGGUUAGUAUGGAAUCGAUGCAUUAUUUGAAUAUCAAUUUCAUUGUUAUUGGACAAUAUUUUGCAUCUAUUACUAUUUUAUUUUUGCUAUUGAUAUCGAUAUGAUCUUAGGAAAUUGAGUCACAUAGACUCAUUGUAACACUAAUGAGUCUGAAGUUUCCCAAGAAGAUAUUGUUGGUAAGAUAUUUGGGGCAGAAAACUCUGGGAGGGUAAGAUGUAUGGGUAUGGGAGCAGCUCCAUCAAACACAUUCUUGAAUACAAAGCGACGACCUAGCGAGCUGAGCAUUUCUUCAUCUAGCUAUGGUGAACCAUCUGUAACCUAUUCAUAUUUGCAUCAAAAGGUUGCGCAUUUGGAGUCCAAACUUGAAGAAACCUAGAAUGUGUUGAAUAAUUACAUGAUAUCUAAGGAAGGAGGGAUUCCUGAAGAAUUAGCUCCUCAACCACCGCAUGUUGAUACAGAGGAGACAGAACUUGUUCCACCUGUGGAUGUAAGAGGCUCAUCAGCUGAUAACAAUGCAAAUCACCAAUCAAAUGCUUAAUGUUUUCUUUGUGGACAACUUUUAGUGCUUUUCAUGUUUUUGAAUUUGUAAUAGUUGCUAGAGUUGUGUUUACUAUGCUUUAGUUUGACGUUCAGUACUUAAGUUUGUGAGUCUAUUAUGGGUAUUCUAAUGGUAAAUCUUUUUAUGCUUUACAUAGAGAUUGUUCAGUGGAUUAUUCAUGCAUAUGAUUUAAAUUUAAACUUUAGUCGAUAUAUUCUAAUAUCCUAAGGUCUAGUUACAAAUAGGUUCAGAAAGUUUGAUUCUGAUAUGCCAAGAUUCUUACAUAGAAAAACUAAAUUAUUAUUUCUCUGUUCUUACUAGAAAUGCAAAAACACCGCUCAUGAACUAUGUCUGAAUAGAAGUAGCAGCAGGCUAGAAAUAUGACAACAACCUAUGCACUUGAUCUUUCAGCUCGCAGUGCCCUCUUGCAUCAUAAACAACUACUUGCCAACACUAUUCGGAGCUGACUAGCCAAUGACUCAUUAGUGAGUUGGUGCUCUUCAAGUCAACCUGGUUUUGUUGCUGUCGCCGUAACUACUACUACUUCUGUGGAUAAUAACACUAUGCUGUUUUGGAACUCUCCAGCAGCCUUGACGGAUAUUUGCGGGAUGACAAGAAUGGGGAGUUGUAUUAUAGAAGAGUGCGGGCUGUGUCCCACUCCAGUAGGUUAAUGUUUAAUACUAGUUCGGAUAGGCAGGUCGUACAUACAUCAUCUGCUAGUUUGGUUGUUUCUGCAGUGUCACCGCCACAACUUAUGCCCCUAUAAACUUUUUCAUAUAUGCUAUUUACUCCUUUCUAAUAAAAAAAGAAGAAGCUUGUGUUAA